CCUACGGGAGGCAGCAGUGAGGAAUAUUGGUCAAUGGACGCAAGUCUGAACCAGCCAUGCCGCGUGCAGGAAGACGGCUCUAUGAGUUGUAAACUGCUUUUGUACGAGGGUAAACGCAGAUACGCGAAGCGGUCUGAAAGUAUCGUAUGAAUAAGGAUCGGCUAACUCCGUGCCAGCAGCCGCGGUAAUACGGAGGAUUCAAGCUUUAUCCGGAUUUAUUGGGUUUAAAGGGUGCGUAGGCGGUCGGAUAAGUUAGAGGUGAAAUCCCGAGGCUCAACUUCGGGAUUGCCGCUGAUACUGUUCGGCUUGAGCGUAGUUGCGGUAGGCGGAAUGUAUGGUGUCGCGGU
RNAcentral lists this ribosomal RNA (347 nucleotides) under uncultured bacterium. Its description in RNAcentral is "partial 16S ribosomal RNA". It matches the Rfam family "Bacterial small subunit ribosomal RNA", at positions 338 to 682 of the family's 1533-position model. The record is from RNAcentral.